UACCUCUUCACUCUUUCUCGUGACUCUCUGUAUUCUCACUAUCCCUCUCAUUCUCUAUACUCGAGGCCACAAACUUCGACGUCACCCACUUGCUUGCUCCACUGUCCUUCCACCACACAAGGUACUCCAAAUUCUCACCCUUACCUCUCCGUUCAAGAAUCUCCUGCACCUCUGCGUACUUAAAUAUCGUCCCUUCCAAAAUCCUAAUCACUCCUUUGAGUCUUGCAACGAAGAGGAGCACGAUGCGAUCGUUGGCAUCCACGGUGUUGUCGUUGUGGCCGUCGGUGGCUGCUAUUAGUUUAGUAGGUUGAGGUUUUUGUUUCUCUUGUCUUAGAAAGAGUGGAGAGUCAUGAUUGGGUACGCUCGUGGAAGGAGACAUUGUUUUCUCUACUUCAAGAUGUCCCACUUCACCUUUGCAAACACGUCUCCAUUUCUAUUGAUGGGACUUCUAUAACUAUUAUCAUUGUUGAUAGUGACACGGGAGAACCGUUGUGGAGACCUUUACUUCACUAUUGUGUUUUUCACAGCUAGGAGAUUUAUGUGUUUGUGUUGCAAUUUUGACCUUUGUUUUAUGUUUUGUUGUAGAUUGGCUAUGAUCCUGAGGUGGACUCAUAUCCUUCAUGGCUAGUCUCUCAACUCAUAUCCUGAGGAUUGUUAAUUGAAUGCAACACUAUUGCAGGAUUGCCGAUUUUGUGAUGGCAAACUCAGAUCCAGUUUUACCUACGAGCAAGAAGAACCACCCGUCAUGUAGCUUCUGGAAGUGGUUGUGGUUGUGAAUUUUGAGUAUGUUGAUGAGAGGAGGCAACACAAAAAAGAACAAUGGAGACACUUUAACAGUUCAAAAAGGACACAUUUGUAGGAGUUGUUAAGAGACAAGUAUCAAGAGGAUAAAGUUGAGGAGUUGUUAAGAGACAAGUAUCAAGAGGAUAAAGUUGAGGAGUUUAAUGCCUUGGGCAAGGGGAAGCCAAACCGAAAGUUGCUAUGUAACCCUUUUUUUUCUCAUAUUGCUGAAGAUAUAGCUUAUUCCUCUACAUUUGCAGAUGGUGUUCCAAAAGAAGGACUCCGAAUCCAAGAUGUACUUGUUAGGAUUGCACAUGUUCUGUGAGGAGUGUGUAUAUAUGAAUGGUCAAUUAAUAAUUUUAAUUUAUUUCUUGUUUGCACCUUUUAAAUUGAAAGGUUACUACAUAUUUAAGAGAAAUGAGCUAUAGGAUUCUAAAAGUAUUAGAUAAUUUUUUAAGGUGAACUAGCUCCCUGGCAAGAGUUUAUCCCAUAAGUUGCAUCAAUUAAUUCUGUAAAAAAUAAAUUCGAUAUAAUUUGUUGAUCUUGACUAUUUGUUUACA
Molecule: long non-coding RNA, 1340 nt
Organism: Glycine soja
Lineage: Eukaryota; Viridiplantae; Streptophyta; Magnoliopsida; Fabales; Fabaceae
Exons: 7
Source: RefSeq, a predicted model, not a curated record